UGGAAGCGAAAAUUGAUCUGUCUGAGCUGCGAGUAUUUGACCGCAAUAUAUAUUGACAUGCCAGGUAGAGGCUAAUGUGCCUCCAGUGGACUAUGGUACACCUUCGACAAUCUUAUCUAAAGUCUUUCUUGACUAAGGGACUAUGUUGUGGUAUAGGAGGAAGGGAGGCCAAAGUGGAUUGAUCUGUUCGAGCUGUGAGUAUUUGACCGCAAUAUAUAUUGGCAUGCCAGGUAGAGGCUAAUGUGCCUCCAGUGGACUAUGGUACACCUUCGACAAUCUUAUCCAAAAUCUUUCUUGACUAAGGGAC
RNAcentral lists this long non-coding RNA (307 nucleotides) under Elaeis guineensis (African oil palm). Its description in RNAcentral is "long non-coding RNA (EGUI_LNC057033)". Lineage: Eukaryota; Viridiplantae; Streptophyta; Magnoliopsida; Arecales; Arecaceae. The record is from RNAcentral.